GACGAACGCUGGCGGCGUGCUUAACACAUGCAAGUCGAACGGAAAGGCCCUGCUUUUGUGGGGUGCUCGAGUGGCGAACGGGUGAGUAACACGUGAGUAACCUGCCCUUGACUUUGGGAUAACUUCAGGACACUGGGUCUAAUACCGGAUAGGAGCUCCUGCUGCAUGGUGGGGGUGGGAAAGUUUCGGCGGUUGGUGAUGGACUCGCGGCUUAUCAGCUUGUUGGUGGGGUAGUGUCUUACCAAGGCCAGGACGGGUAGCCGAGCUGAGAGGAGGAGAGGACCAGCCACACUGGGACUGCGACACGGACCAGAAUCCUACGCGAGGGAGCAGUGGGGAACAUUGGACAAGGGGCGAAAGCCUGAUAAAGCAAUGCCGCGUGAGUGAUGAAGGCCUUAGGGUUGUAAAGCCCUUUUACCCGGGAUGAUAAUGACAGUACCGGGUGAAUAAGCACCGGCUAACUCCGUG
Molecule: ribosomal RNA, 468 nt
Filed under: uncultured bacterium
Lineage: Bacteria
Description: partial 16S ribosomal RNA
Rfam family: Bacterial small subunit ribosomal RNA
Source: RNAcentral